RNAcentral lists this ribosomal RNA (468 nucleotides) under uncultured bacterium. RNAcentral's name for it is "partial 16S ribosomal RNA". It matches the Rfam family "Bacterial small subunit ribosomal RNA", at positions 28 to 507 of the family's 1533-position model. The record is from RNAcentral.
GACGAACGCUGGCGGCGUGCUUAACACAUGCAAGUCGAACGGAAAGGCCCUGCUUUUGUGGGGUGCUCGAGUGGCGAACGGGUGAGUAACACGUGAGUAACCUGCCCUUUACUUUGGGAUAACUUCAGGAAACUGGUGCUAAUACCGGAUAGGAGCUCCUGCUGCAUGGUGGGGGUUGGAAAGUUUCGGCGGUUGGGGAUGGACUCGCGGCUUAUCAGCUUGUUGGUGGGGUAGUGGCUUACCAAGGCUUUGACGGGUAGCCGGCCUGAGAGGGUGACCGGCCACAUUGGGACUGAGAUACGGAGCAGACUCCUACGGGAGGCAGCAGUGGGGAAUAUGGCACAAUGGGCGGAAGCCUGAUGCAGCAACGCCGCGUGCGGGAUGACGGCCUUCGGGUUGUAAACCGCUUUAGCCUGUGACGAAGCGUGAGUGACGGUAAUGGGUAAAGAAGCACCGGCUAACUACGUG